CGCAUCUGUGCAUGCAGCAUAUCAAUAAGCGGAGGAAAAGAAACUAACAGGGAUUCCCUCAGUAACGGCGAGUGAAGCGGGAAGAGCUCAAAUUUGAAAUCUUGAAAGGUCACCUUUCACGAAUUGUAGUUUAAAGAAGUGUUUUCUGUUACGAUCGUAAUAUAAGUUCUUUGGAAUAGGACAUCACAGAGGGUGAGAAUCCCGUCUAUGAUUGCGAUUUGUAGCUUUGUGAUACACUUUCAAAGAGUCGGGUUGUUUGGGAAUGCAGCCCAAAACGGGAGGUAAAUUUCUUCUAAGGCUAAAUAUUGGCGAGAGACCGAUAGCGAACAAGUACCGUGAGGGAAAGAUGAAAAGAACUUUGAAAAGAGAGUUAAAUAGUACGUGAAAUUGUCAAAAGGGAAGCGUUUAACACCAGUGUUGUUUUCUGAAAAUCAACCUCUGUUAGCUUUAUGCAUGUUUGUUUAGACCUAAUCAGCUAUCUUGCAUGUUCUAUUGUUUGCAGUGGUGCACUUUUCAGUUUACAGGUCAACAUCAGUUUUUUUUACCGUAAAAAAGUUAAAGAAAGGUAGCUCAUGGCUCCGGUCGUGAGUGUUAUAGUCUUUUUCCUAUGCGGUAGGAGAGACUGAGGUCUGCAGUGUAGGCUAUUUGGCUAGAUACUCAGGUGCUAUGUGAUACCAUUUCAGUAAACAACUUGUUGAUUAUGUUUUGUCUAUUGCAUACUCGCUUGUACUAUCAUACCUACGCUUAGGAUGUUGACGAUCAGCUGAGCGCG
Molecule: ribosomal RNA, 772 nt
Filed under: uncultured Neocallimastigales
Lineage: Eukaryota; Fungi; Neocallimastigomycota; Neocallimastigomycetes; Neocallimastigales
Description: partial large subunit ribosomal RNA
Rfam family: Eukaryotic large subunit ribosomal RNA
Source: RNAcentral